Molecule: ribosomal RNA, 253 nt
Filed under: uncultured bacterium
Lineage: Bacteria
Description: partial 16S ribosomal RNA
Rfam family: Bacterial small subunit ribosomal RNA
Source: RNAcentral
UACGAGGGGUGCAAACGUUAUUCGGAAUCAUUGGGCGUAAAGGGUGCGUAGGCGGCGCGGUAAGUCGGGUGUGAAAUCUUGGAGCUUAACUCCGAAACUGCAUUCGAUACUGCCGUGCUUGAGGACUGGAGAGGAGACUGGAAUUUACGGUGUAGCGGUGAAAUGCGUAGAUAUCGUAAGGAAGACCAGUGGCGAAGGCGGGUCUCUGGACAGUUCCUGACGCUGAGGCACGAAGGCCAGGGGAGCAAACGGG